This 23-nucleotide small nuclear RNA is filed under the name Arabidopsis thaliana (thale cress). RNAcentral's name for it is "snRNA_07265". The record is from RNAcentral. Lineage: Eukaryota; Viridiplantae; Streptophyta; Magnoliopsida; Brassicales; Brassicaceae.
UGCAUCCAUUACGAUGGUUGUAA